AACGUAGGAGGCAAGCGUUAUCCGGAUUUACUGGGCGUAAAGCGCGUGCAGGCGGUCGGGUAAGUCGGACGUGAAAGCUCCUGGCUCAACUGGGAGAGGCCGUUCGAUACUACCGGACUAGAGGGCAGGAGAGGGAGGUGGAAUUCCGGGUGUAGCGGUGAAAUGCGUAGAUAUCCGGAGGAACACCAGUGGCGAAGGCGGCCUCCUGGUCUGCCCCUGACGCUCAGACGCGAAAGCUAGGGGAG
RNAcentral lists this ribosomal RNA (245 nucleotides) under uncultured Anaerolineaceae bacterium. Its description in RNAcentral is "partial 16S ribosomal RNA". It matches the Rfam family "Bacterial small subunit ribosomal RNA", at positions 524 to 768 of the family's 1533-position model. Lineage: Bacteria; Bacillati; Chloroflexota; Anaerolineae; Anaerolineales; Anaerolineaceae. The record is from RNAcentral.